This 368-nucleotide ribosomal RNA is filed under the name Vibrio owensii. RNAcentral describes it as "bacterial SSU rRNA". It matches the Rfam family "Bacterial small subunit ribosomal RNA", at positions 78 to 452 of the family's 1533-position model. Lineage: Bacteria; Pseudomonadati; Pseudomonadota; Gammaproteobacteria; Vibrionales; Vibrionaceae. The record is from RNAcentral.
GAUAACGGCGUCGAGCGGCGGACGGGUGAGUAAUGCCUAGGAAAUUGCCCUGAUGUGGGGGAUAACCAUUGGAAACGAUGGCUAAUACCGCAUAAUGCCUACGGGCCAAAGAGGGGGACCUUCGGGCCUCUCGCGUCAGGAUAUGCCUAGGUGGGAUUAGCUAGUUGGUGAGGUAAUGGCUCACCAAGGCGACGAUCCCUAGCUGGUCUGAGAGGAUGAUCAGCCACACUGGAACUGAGACACGGUCCAGACUCCUACGGGAGGCAGCAGUGGGGAAUAUUGCACAAUGGGCGCAAGCCUGAUGCAGCCAUGCCGCGUGUGUGAAGAAGGCCUUCGGGUUGUAAAGCACUUUCAGUCGUGAGGAAGGU